CUUCUAAAAAUGAAGGAGAACUGGAAAAGUGGGAGAAUUUAUAAAGAAGCACAUUUUCUCUGAUUUGGGAAACCUGACUUCUUUUCUAUUUUUCUUUUGUUAGUUCUGCCUGUGGCCCUCAAAGGAAGGAAACUGCCAACACAACAUACAUGUGCAUCCAGAAAUCUCAAAAUCAGCAAAAGCUGUGAUGGGAGGGAAUCCUCAGAAUCUUUUAUUUUGGACAAGCCACUGAAGUUGAGCAGGUCAGGCAGAAGCAGCACUUGUACAACAGGCCAGCCAGUAUGUGAGAUUUAGGGUGGUACAGUAACUCCAGCAUGUUUUGUUAUCUCAGAAUGGAGUCUAUCCCCAGGUAAGUUUUGUCAUUUGUUUAUUUAAGUAUUGAUUUAUUUUAGGAAUUGCUGAAAUUGCUGAUUUUUCAUAUACAUCUCUGCUAAAGAUGCUUCGUCUCAGCUGUGGACAUAGAACCAUGCUAGGAUUAGAAACUUCUGUGUAUAUUCUUGUCCUCAGAAAUAGGACCACAACAGGAUAGAAGAGUUUUUGCAUUGCCUUAGGAGCCAGAGGGAUUAGUUACAGUCCUGUUAAAGCAUAGCUCUCUUUACAAUGAUCUUGCUUCUAACCAGAGAUUUGCCCAGCACACGUUGCUCCUGAGCUCAGAAUUGCCUGCCUUCCCCUCUCAGGUGAGUUCAGAUCUGCCAGCAUCUCCAAAGCUGGCUCAGGUGAGCUGGGUCUCAACAGAGAAGUAAAUACUGUUGCUCUUUUUGCACUGAAAGCUUUUGUACAGUGACAGCUUCAUCAGAGAUAAAUGUUAAUUAAACUUAAUCUCAGAGUGCUGUAUAUCAGUUAAUAAGUGACCAGCUGAGUACUGUCUAGGUACUCAUUUUGUUCCAUAACACUGCUGAUCUCUCAGAUGAGUCACACUUUUGUGGGAGGUCAGAUGCUCAGGGCUAAAUCAUUUGUUAUCUAUCACCUGAGAAGCAUAGAGAAGCAGUGCUGUUUCAAACGGCAGUAAAGGUUGACUACUCUGGCCAGUGAGCACUACAGGAGUGUCAGUCUAUCCAAAGGACGUUUUAAUCCAGAGUGGCAACUGGGGAAACGAAGGAUUCAUAGGCUAUUUAACUUCCUGUUUGUAAACCUCUCAUGUUACUGCAGUUGACUGUUGCUUUCAUCCUUACCUACUGAGAUCCAUGGGGCUGAUAAGUGUGUGUUGUACUGCACCAUUUGUUUCAGAAAAAUAGAAGCAAAAGGAAGGACUGGAAAAACAGAAUACAUUUUCUGCUUACCAGAAGAGAGCUGA
This 1294-nucleotide long non-coding RNA is filed under the name Numida meleagris (helmeted guineafowl). RNAcentral describes it as "lncRNA (ENSNMEG00000013988.1)". Lineage: Eukaryota; Metazoa; Chordata; Aves; Galliformes; Numididae. The record is from RNAcentral.